Molecule: ribosomal RNA, 495 nt
Filed under: uncultured bacterium
Lineage: Bacteria
Description: bacterial SSU rRNA
Rfam family: Bacterial small subunit ribosomal RNA
Source: RNAcentral
GAACGCUGGCGGCGUGCUUAACACAUGCAAGUCGAACGAGGAUUUAACGGAAUACGAUUCGUCAAAUGAAAUUAAAUCCGAGUGGCGGACGGGUGAGUAACGCGUGGAUAACCUGCCUCACACAGGGGGACAACAGUUGGAAACGGCUGCUAAUACCGCAUAACAUGAGCUGACCGCAUGGUUGACUCAUCAAAGAUUUUAUCGGUAUGGGAUGGGGAUGCGUCUGAUUAGCUUGUUGGCGGGUAACGGCCCACCAAGGCGACGAUCAGUAGGGGUUCUGAGAGGAAGGUCCCCCACAUUGGAACUGAGACACGGUCCAAACUCCUACGGGAGGCAGCAGUGAGGAAUAUUGGUCAAUGGGCGAGAGCCUGAACCAGCCAAGUAGCGUGCAGGAUGACGGCCCUAUGGGUUGUAAACUGCUUUUAUAAGGGAAUAAAGUGAGUCUCGUGAGACUUUUUGCAUGUACCUUAUGAAUAAGGACCGGCUAAUUCCGUG